Molecule: transfer RNA, 87 nt
Filed under: Clostridiales bacterium
Lineage: Bacteria; Bacillati; Bacillota; Clostridia; Eubacteriales
Also listed under: 1 other name
Description: tRNA-Leu
Rfam family: tRNA
About the family: Transfer RNA (tRNA) molecules are approximately 80 nucleotides in length.
Source: RNAcentral
GCGGGAAUGGCGGAAUUGGCAGACGCGCAUGAUUCAGGUUCAUGUGCACGUACGUGCUUGCAGGUUCAAGUCCUGUUUCCCGCACCA